UUGGAGGGCAAGUCUGGUGCCAGCAGCCGCGGUAAUUCCAGCUCCAAUAGCGUAUAUUAAAGUUGUUGCAGUUAAAAAGCUCGUAGUUGAAUUUCGGGAUCAGAGUGUCGGUCGUGCCUCGGUACGCACUGGUAUUAUUGGUUCCUACCUUCUGAAGAACCGCGAUGUCAUUAAUUUGGUGUCGUGGGGAAUCAGGACUGUUACUUUGAAAAAAUUAGAGUGUUUAAAGCAGGCUUACGCUUGAAUACAUUAGCAUGGAAUAAUGAAAUAGGACGUUUGAUUCUAUUUUGUUGGUUUCUAGGAUUGACGUAAUGAUUAAUAGGGAUAGUUGGGGGCAUUAGUAUUCAAUUGUCAGAGGUGAAAUUCUUGGAUUUAUUGAAGACUAACUACUGCGAAAGCAUUUGCCAAGGAUGUUUUCAUUAAUCAAGAACGAAAGUUAGGGGAUCGAAGACAAUCAGAUACCGUCGUAGUCUUAACCAUAAACUAUGCCGACUAGGGAUCGGAUGAUGUUAAUUUUUUAAUUACUCAUUCGGCGCCUUACGGGAAACCAAAGUGUUUGGGUUC
This 564-nucleotide ribosomal RNA is filed under the name uncultured Glomeromycotina. Its description in RNAcentral is "SSU rRNA". It matches the Rfam family "Eukaryotic small subunit ribosomal RNA", at positions 548 to 1114 of the family's 1831-position model. Lineage: Eukaryota; Fungi; Glomeromycota. The record is from RNAcentral.